GGCGGGGGGGGGUUGGAUGAGGGGAGUUACAUGACGUCUUUUUCGGUAGCUCCGCCCGAGUGACGUCAGCCUGAGCCCUCCCCUCCACUCCCCCCGCUUUGCUCACACACGGGUGACGUCACGGCGGCGGCGCUUGUCCGACCGCGCUCGCUCGCGUGAGGCAGUCGGAGCGGCUGGGUUUGAGCUCCGUUAAAAAAAAAACAACUGCGGUGUAGUCGCGACCACCACCACCACCACCGCCAGUUGACUCAACGCUCCCUCCUAAAUCCGCUAGCCCAAGGGACGGGACUCGAGCCGCGGUCUGCGAGACGGCGCCUCGAAAUCGGCGUUCGCCGAGGCUUGGACGGCGGCGGGGGUGGCGAGGGGGUGGGGCGGCGUCCGGCGCGACCCGAAGACGUCCGGGCAAGUGGAUCUAGUCGAGCCGGUGCCCCAAGUCACUACGCUGCGGCUCGGCCUCUUAUCGCGGCCUUGUCAGUCCCACUGUUCCUGCGGGGGAGCGAUACGACAGCAGUGUGGAGACGAAAGGCGUCACACGAGUGCCAAGUGAUAUCUGAACCCGGUCUGAGACAUCCCUCCCCACUUGGGUCAACGCAGCCGAAAUCGGCCUGAGUCGGGAGAGCUGGGGCGCUCGGGACCGCCGACCUGGGGCCGAGAGUGGCAAUGCGCCACCUACCAUCGCGGUGGUGACCACAUCUUCUCAAGGCUUCAUCGCGAAAAUGAAGAAGAGACCCCAGGACACGCUUGACUUCCCCUGCCUUUUAAAUUAACGCAUCACGCCACAGAGUUCCAUCCCGCCGGCGAGGCGGGCUCAGCGGAGCGGACGACCUCCGCAGGAGUAAAACAUAAAAAAAAGACAAAAUCCAAAUCGUCACCAAACGCAACCCCGCGUGCGUGCGUGCGCACACCAAUACCUGUCGCCCUGCCACCAAGCGCAUUUGCAAUGGUGACAUAACGUCGGCGUCUGCUCACGAGAUCGACGCCGCCCCCCCCCCCAGCCCCCGAAGGAUCGCAGCAGCGCGGGCC
Molecule: long non-coding RNA, 1023 nt
Organism: Petromyzon marinus (sea lamprey)
Lineage: Eukaryota; Metazoa; Chordata; Hyperoartia; Petromyzontiformes; Petromyzontidae
Source: RefSeq, a predicted model, not a curated record